AUGGGGUGGGGUAUAUCGGUUCCACUAUAUAGGCGACGAUCCUUAGCGUGGUCGAAGAUAGCCAGGCCACCUGGAACUGGAACCCGUCCAGAUCCUUACCGGAGCAGCAUGGGAAAAUGCACAAUUGGGCGCAGGCUUGAUGCAGCAUGCGCGUGUAUGAGAAGCCUCGGGUUGUAAAGUACUUUCAGCGGGGAGGAAGGGUAGUUGAUGGUUAUAACUGUAGUCAAUUGACGGUACCGCAGAAGAAGCACCGGCUAACUCCGUGCCAGCAGCCGCGGUAUACGGAGGGUGCAAGCGUUAAUCGGAAUUACUGGGCGUAAAGCGCACGCAGGCGGUCUGUAAAGUCAGAUGUGAAAUCCCCGGGCUCAACCUGGGAACUGCAUUUGAUACUGGCAGGCUAGAGUCUCGUAGAGGGGGGUAGAAUUUCCAGGUGUAGCGGUGAAAUGCGUAGAGAUCUGGAGGAAUACCGGUGGCGAAGGCGGCCCCCUGGACAAAGACUGACGCUCAGGUGCGAAAGCGUGGGGAGCAAACAGGAUUAGAUACCCUGGUAGUCCACGCCGUAAACGAUGUCGACUUGGAGGUUGUGCCCUUGAGGCGUGGCUUCCGGAGCUAACGCGUUAAGUCGACCGCCUGGGGAGUACGGCCGCAAGGUUAAAACUCAAAUGAAUUGACGGGGGCCCGCACAAGCGGUGGAGCAUGUGGUUUAAUUCGAUGCAACGCGAAGAACCUUACCUACUCUUGACAUCCAGAGAACUUUUCAGAGAUGGGUUGGUGCCUUCGGGAACUGUGAGACAGGUGCUGCAUGGCUGUCGUCAGCUCGUGUUGUGAAAUGUUGGGUUAAGUCCCGCAACGAGCGCAACCCUUAUCCUUUGUUGCCAGCGGUCCGGCCGGGAACUCAAAGGAGACUGCCAGUGAUAAACUGGAGGAAGGUGGGGAUGACGUCAAGUCAUCAUGGCCCUUACGAGCAGGGCUACACACGUGCUACAAUGGCGCAUACAAAGAGAAGCGACCUCGCGAGAGCAAGCGGACCUCAUAAAGUGCGUCGUAGUCCGGAUUGGAGUCUGCAACUCGACUCCAUGAAGUCGGAAUCGCUAGUAAUCGUAGAUCAGAAUGCCACGGUGAAUACGUUCCCGGGCCUUGUACACACCGCCCGUCACACCAUGGGAGUGGGUUGCAAAAGAAGUAGGUAGCUUAACCUUCGGGAGGGCGCUACCACUUUGAUAAAUUCCCUUG
Molecule: ribosomal RNA, 1233 nt
Filed under: Enterobacter sp.
Lineage: Bacteria; Pseudomonadati; Pseudomonadota; Gammaproteobacteria; Enterobacterales; Enterobacteriaceae
Description: bacterial SSU rRNA
Rfam family: Bacterial small subunit ribosomal RNA
Source: RNAcentral